RNAcentral lists this ribosomal RNA (286 nucleotides) under uncultured bacterium. RNAcentral's name for it is "partial 16S ribosomal RNA". It matches the Rfam family "Bacterial small subunit ribosomal RNA", at positions 524 to 804 of the family's 1533-position model. The record is from RNAcentral.
UACGUAGGACCCCAAGCGUUAUCCGGAGUGACUGGGCGUAAAGAGUUGCGUAGGUGGCUUGUAAAGCAAAUAGUGAAAUCUGGGGCGUCAACCUCACAGGCUAUUAUUUGAACUCACAAGCUCGAGAACAGCAGAGGUAACUGGAAUUUCUGAAGUAGGGGUAAUAUCCGUAGAUAUCAGAAGGAACACCAAUGGCGUAGGCAGGUUACUGGGCUGUUUCUGACACUGAGGCACGAAAGCGUGGGGAGCGAACCGGAUUAGAUACCCUGGUAGUCCCUAGACUGCC